Molecule: long non-coding RNA, 4408 nt
Filed under: Bemisia tabaci
Lineage: Eukaryota; Metazoa; Arthropoda; Insecta; Hemiptera; Aleyrodidae
Description: lncRNA ENSSWEETPG012250
Source: RNAcentral
CUGUGUCGAUCGAAUUCAUACACUCCUUUUUGCAUGAGGAUAGGCAUUAUUUCGAGAACUGUUGUUGUUGAAAACUGAGGUUUGAGCAUUUGAUCAUUAGCAAGUAGCUUCUUUUCUGUUGGCAGCGACGGAGCUAGCGCACGAGAGCACGUCCGACGGCAAACUCGGAGCACAAUUCCUCGGCCGAUGAAGACUCCCAAUUAAGACUCCGACUCAAAAGAAAACUCCAGAGAAUCGCACUUCAUUCACCAACGAACAAUAGACAGUCUUGAAAAAGAAUUUGAGAGAACUCACUAUCCCGAUGUGUUUGCCCGGGAACGGUUAGCAGAAAAAAUUGGAGGCCCGAAGCGAAGCUAGGAUACAGGUAUGGUUUAGCAACAGGAGAGCGAAAUGGCGGAGAGAGGAGAAGCUGAGGAACCAACGUCGUGGUGGCUCGGUGGUUGACCCCUCGCCGACCCCCGCCUCAACCAGCCCCCAGCUCCCUCUAGUCGUCUCCCCCUAAACACCGGUUUCAACUCCAUGUACUCGUCGAUACCCCAACCCAUGGCGACCAUGGCCGAAACCUACAGCUCAAUGACAGGGAGUUUGAGUAUGAGCGGGAGCUGUUUGCAGGCAGGCCGCGCGCGACCACCACAGCUACCCGUACAUGUUCCACGACCCGUUGCACUCGCUUAGCUCCUCUUACGGACACUCGCGAGGCAUCGGGCACUCACAGAGCGGAGUCAACGCCCACUCGCCUUACUCCACGGCCGCGUCCGUCAACAGCACGCCCGGAACCGGCACUGGUGUUAUCUCGGCCGGCGUGUCGGUGCCGGUGCAAAUCCCGAGCCAAAGCGACCACCACGCCAGUUUGGCCUCCAACUACAGCCACUGGUCGCGGCUCCAGUGAUCGCAGCUUUUUGGGUUUCCUGCCUCCUUCGCCCAGCACAGCAAAUUCCCCCCCAACCCCACCCCGCCCACCUCCCUGUCACCGCCUUGUCCGCCUCCUCUACCCCCUCGCCGCAGCCCUCCAAGGAACCCAAAAUUUCGGUUCGCAAGGUGUACAAUAAAAUUCGUAAAUAUGUAAGUCGUUUUGAUCUCAGCCUAAUUAGCACUUUCAACCCCCCCCCCCCCCUCCGCAGGACAUAAUUUGAGAAUACAUCAUUGGCAGCGCAAAAAUUAUUAUUUAACACGCUACAAACGUCGAUAUUCGACCGUUUUAAAAUAUAGAUUGCUAUAUUAAAACGUCACUACUAAUGCCACGGUUGACAAAUCCAGACGUAACACUGCGAAAAGGGAAGACCAUUUGGACUAUAUUUUGCGGUUCAUGUCAUUCGUUCUUUGCCUCAUUUUAGAAACGACGUAUAUGUCAUUACUUUCCCCGUACAAAUAAUUGAAUUCACAGAAAGGUAGCAGUCCAUGUGGACUUCAUUUUCUAAUAAGAAAGUAUGAUCACUGGCUCAUCUAUAGAAGCACCAUUUCCAUGAAAUUCCAGGAAAUUCAUGGCACAUACGUUAUUUCCGACAAAAGGCAGAUAAAGUAAUUCCUCGUUGCAAAAUGAGGUCCAUUUGUUGCAUCUAUUCAAGCAACUAUCUGCAGAGGAGGACAGAUGACACAUACGUUGUUUAGAUAUUUGUAUUUAAAAUGAUGAAAAAAAUAAGAAAUUCCAAAUUUUAAUGUACCAAAUGUAAAUGUGUCAGCUACAACUAGUGGCUUCUCAGAUUAAGUCAUCACCCCUCCCCCCCUCCCCCCAAACUAUCUUUACUUAUUGAACUUGUGAAUGGAAGUAUCCCAUGUUUUGCUUGAAGCCUGCUCAAUACUUUUAGUCAGCAUUUAUCUUGCCGAUCUCUUGGGUGACUAAAUUAGUUUGCAGAUCAGUGGCGUGGCGUGCUUUGCGAUACAUAGGUUGAUUUGCCAUGUAAACUAUGGAAAAGUAUCGAUAAACAGGGUGUUCGCAGCGAACACCUUGAUAAUCGAUUAUUUACCACAGCUUCAAAAGGGGGAAAUAUCGAUAGAUCGAAAAGCACGCUACGCCCGCUGUUUGCAGUAUAGGAGGAUCAUGAGGAUUAGUUCGUCACGAUCAUUAGUAUCAGGUAUAUUUUGGUGGAUAAUCAUUUUUAGACGGUGACAAUGGAAUGGAAAGACAACAGCUAUUUUUCUGUAGCGCACGUGUCUAAAAAAAAUUUUUUUAAAAAAUUAAGCAGUUGUUUCUGAACUUGCGUUUAAAAUGGUGCUUUCGUUCUGUUUCAAACGAAAACGGAAUCGUCAAUAAUGAGGAUUCAUAAAAUGUUAAAUUUUUCAGCUCAUUCAAAUAAUUUUUGUGAAACUUUUAAAACCUGACAGUUUUUGUUUUAUGACACUUUUUGUAUGGUAAAAAUAAAAUUAAUCAUUGAUCCAGUUUGAUCUGCUGUAUUGAAACUGCAUGUUUGGGAAACGCAAUCAUAUGAGAUCAUUACCGGCCAUAUUCUUCCGCCGAACGCAUUUUAGGCGAGACAUAUAUGAAUUUUCAAUGUCAUUGUUAAACUUGAUUCAAAAUAGCGACUUAGAAAAAAAGUCUUGAUCCUUAUGUUUGCCAAGCAUUUUUGAAAUAAUAUAUUUUUGCCAAUUUUAAUAGCACACCUUCUUUUUUUAGAAUUUUUCGGUAUCAGGGUAAUGUACAAAUCAGACAGAAAAUAGAGCUUUCAGACCCUCUAACAGCCAUAGGCUCAACUUUAGCGCACCAUUUGGGCUUCAACUAAAAUCCGAGGUUGCAAUACAUUUUUCUCGUGUUCUCCGCAUUUAAGAUUCAGCCCUAGUUGCUUUCAACUUUUAGUAGGCUAUAGUUGUUAAAUAAAGACCGCACAAGCGUUAUGCAAUGCAGAAUUAAUGUCCAUAAAAAUUUAACAAAUAGCUCAAGUAUAGUAACGUUAUGAAAACCUUCUGGAAAACAAUGAUACAACUUAUAAAAAUAUUAAGUAAUACUUAUCUGGUAAUUUGGAUUUUUUGGUGCUUGUACCACCCUGGAUCCCUGUCUUUCUGAAUCAUGGCACCUAACUCUUAAACGAAAAGAGUUUCUUUAAGCAAAAAUUUGUGAUGUACUGUAUAGAUUUUUGCAUUGUAAGAUUGUAAAUAUUAAAUUGUAGUUAUAACAAAUACGGUAAUAUAAUUGUGUUACAAACUUCCCUUUACUAAGCUUUCUCCUUUCCGUUGCAUCGAGGUUACGAUGAACUUGAAGCCAUUUAAACUACGAUUUAUUGCUAGAAAAUUUUAGUGAAAUCAUUGUAAAGUGCAAAGGCAUUCCCUUCAAUUUGCAAAAUGUACUGUAGUUUUCCUUAAUAUGUAAUUAAAAAAACGAUUUUGAACUUGACGUGUUCAAGUUACGGGGUCGCCAGAGGUAAUCGUUUUGGAAAAGAUUAAUAUAUUUUAACAAUGCUCUUCGAAAAAAUUCCAAAAAUUAUUUUUUCAUAUAUCAGAAGAGUUGCCAGGAGGGAAAAAAAUUUCAGUUUGAGCUCAGUCGAAUGUCUUGAAAAAUUUUGCUCAAUAAGUACUUAUUCCCUCUAAAUGUGUGUAACGAAGUAAUGUGGUCCUACAAAUAAGAAAAGAUAAUUUACUCGGUAGAAAUCCACGCUUUACCCUUGGACGGAAAUAUAUUUUUAAACUACUCGCAUAAGUACCUAUUUUGAAAUGACCCGGUUAUGUGAAUUAUAACGUUACAGGAUUCACAGCGGCGCGGCGUACUUUGCGAUAUAUCGAUUGAUCUGCCGUUUAAACCUAUGGUAAAGGAUUGAUAAACAGGGUGUUCGCAACGAACACUCUAAUAAUCGAUUCUUUACCAUAGCUUCAAAUGGGGAAAGAUCGAUGAUCAAUUAUUCACGCCUCGCCACCGAGGAUUAAAUCCAUCAAGUGCUCCCUGUGAAUUAUGUUCUUUCAGCUAAGCUCCAUCCCGCAAACGGAUAUUAAUUAUCCCGGUAGUGCCACUGUUGCAGGUGCAAUAUAAGGCAAGUUUAGUCCUCAACUCUAAUUUUAAUAGUUUUUCUCCCCCUUGAAUAUGCAUUUAAUUGACGAACUGAGUAAUAUCAGUUCACGAAAUUUGCUCUAAUUUCGAAUCCGACGGAUGGUAAAUCUGUGACGUAUACCAGUGUUUAAUUUGCAAUCUCAUCUUAUGUAUAUUAUUGUAGGUUUCUGAUGUAAAAUUUUGUCUAGUAUUACAUUGACGCAUAAUGUGAAAAAAGUCUUGUUUGGAUAACAAAUUCAAUAUUAUUAAGCAUGUUAUAUUAUUUGUAACUAUGGAUGAAAUAAAGUGUUUUUUUUCUUUCAUACGAGCUAUUCCAUUGAGUCAUUCCCACCCUCCUCUGUACUUGGUAUUCCAGGUAACUCCAUCGGAUUGAGACGUAAAAUUCUUCGAUGUUUAAUCGAAAAUAGUAAAAAAUGUGAGUAAAGAUUCUGAAUA